UACGUAGGGACCGAGCGUUGUCCGGAUUUACUGGGCGUAAAGAGCGCGCAGGCGGUCGUUCAAGUCGAGUGUGAAAGCCCCCGGCUCAACUGGGGAGGGUCACUCGAUACUGAUCGACUUGAAGGCAGGAGAGGGAAGCGGAAUUCCCGGUGUAGUGGUGAAAUGCGUAGAUAUCGGGAGGAACACCAGUGGCGAAGGCGGCUUCCUGGCCUGCUCUUGACGCUGAGGCGCGAAAGCUAGGGUAGCAAACGGG
This 253-nucleotide ribosomal RNA is filed under the name uncultured bacterium. Its description in RNAcentral is "partial 16S ribosomal RNA". It matches the Rfam family "Bacterial small subunit ribosomal RNA", at positions 524 to 776 of the family's 1533-position model. The record is from RNAcentral.